Molecule: ribosomal RNA, 497 nt
Filed under: uncultured bacterium
Lineage: Bacteria
Description: partial 16S ribosomal RNA
Rfam family: Bacterial small subunit ribosomal RNA
Source: RNAcentral
GAUGAACGCUGGCGGCGUGCCUAAUACAUGAAAGUCGAGCGAACGGACGAGAAGCUUGCUUCUCUGAUGUUAGCGGCGGACGGGUGAGUAACACGUGGAUAGCCUACCUAUAAGACUGGGAUAACUUCGGGAAACCGGAGCUAAUACCGGAUAAUAUUUUGAACCGCAUGGUUCAAAAGUGAAAGACGGUCUUGCUGUCACUUAUAGAUGGAUCCGCGCUGCAUUAGCUAGUUGGUAAGGUAACGGCUUACCAAGGCAACGAUGCAUAGCCGACCUGAGAGGGUGAUCGGCCACACUGGAACUGAGACACGGUCCAGACUCCUACGGGAGGCAGCAGUAGGGAAUCUUCCGCAAUGGGCGAAAGCCUGACGGAGCAACGCCGCGUGAGUGAUGAAGGUCUUCGGAUCGUAAAACUCUGUUAUUAGGGAAGAACAUAUGUGUAAGUAACUGUGCACAUCUUGACGGUACCUAAUCAGAAAGCCACGGCUAACUACGUG